AGGCGAAGUCGUCUAAUUCUAAUGAUGAUCAUAUUUGCGAUUGAAGUUGGCAAUAGCAAUAAGCAAUUCUCUGUGUGCCUAUCAAAUCUCUUAAUUUUGAACAAGGCAUCGAACUAGUUGAUGUGUU
Papaver somniferum (opium poppy) is the source of this 127-nucleotide small nucleolar RNA. The record is from RefSeq and is a predicted model, not a curated record. Lineage: Eukaryota; Viridiplantae; Streptophyta; Magnoliopsida; Ranunculales; Papaveraceae.